This is a non-coding RNA of Gymnothorax javanicus (giant moray), 71 nucleotides long. NCBI's taxonomy places the organism in Eukaryota, Metazoa, Chordata, Actinopteri, Anguilliformes, Muraenidae. The record is from the annotation of a GenBank genome assembly.
GUCUUUGGCGUUGUGGUCAGUGCGCGUGACUCUUACCCGAGAGUUUGGGGUUCAAACCCCCGCCUGAGACC